This 480-nucleotide ribosomal RNA is filed under the name uncultured bacterium. RNAcentral describes it as "partial 16S ribosomal RNA". It matches the Rfam family "Bacterial small subunit ribosomal RNA", at positions 28 to 523 of the family's 1533-position model. The record is from RNAcentral.
GACGAACGCUGGCGGCGUGCUUAACACAUGCAAGUCGAGCGAGAGAAAUUCCUUCGGGAAGGACUCUAGCGGCGGACGGGUGAGUAACACGUGGGUAACUUGCCUCAUAGAGGGGAAUAGCCUUUCGAAAGGAAGAUUAAUAUCGCAUAAGAUUGUAGUAUCGCAUGAUGCAGCAAUUAAAGGAGUAAUCCGCUAUGAGAUGGACCCGCGUCGCAUUAGCUAGUUGGUGAGGUAACGGCUCACCAAGGCGACGAUGCGUAGCCGACCUGAGAGGGUGAUCGGCCACAUUGGGACUGAGACACGGCCCAGACUCCUACGGGAGGCAGCAGUGGGGAGUAUUGCACAAUGGGGGAAACCCUGAUGCAGCAACGCCGCGUGAGUGAUGACGGUCUUCGGAUUGUAAAACUCUGUCUUCAGGGACGGUAAUGACGGUACCUGAGGAGGAAGCCACGGCUAACUACGUGCCAGCAGCCGCCGUAA